AUCGGAUGAGGAUGCAGCCAACCCUCUGCCAGCAUAAGGGAGCCCCAGACGGCCCCGAGCUCUGCUAGCUGGGCUUGUGGGGACCCCUGGCUGGAACCGAACCAGGCUCAUCAGCGCUCAGGAGCCCGGGAGCCACCUCCCCGGGAAGAUUCACACGCACACGCACACGCACACGCGUGCACACAGAGGAGGCCUGCCAUCAGGGUGGGUGGGGCUGGACUAACACCAGCCCAGGGAAGAGAAGCCCGAGAUGGUGGGGCGCGGUGGGCAGUGAGGCGGGGUCUCGGCUGGAGGGGCUCGCUCUGACUGUGGAGCACCCAUGUGCCUCCUAAACAGAAACCCCACACAGGCCAAGGAAACAGAGCUACCAGCUGACUCACUCUCCCAGCAAACACCAGCUCCUCCCCGAGCCAGGCCCUGGAAGAGAAGUCGACAUCACGAGCCGCCAUCUGGGGGGUGGCACCAGGCUGCGAAGGAUCCACAGACUGGCAUAUGCAGGAGGAAAUGGGGCGGGCGAGGAGUAAGGACCCCAAAAAGCAGGGGCAGGGAAGGGCCCUCCCAGCGCCCCACUGUAACAGGGGCCUAAUCAAUGCCCCGUGCUCACUGAAUAAAGCACUGCCAGCGAAAGGUGAAAAGAGGCACAAAGAACAUUCUCCUGGACGCCACCCACAGAAAGCCACGUGCAGGCUUGGCCCUCACCUUGGGGACCUUGGACACGGAGCUGGUUAUGUCACAUCUGGCUCUCAGAGCUGGGGCAGCGUCUAGGAGGCCUGAUGUAGAAGGCACUCGGCUAAGCCCUAGUUACCGGCACACGGGCACCAGCGCCCCCUCUCAGCAAACUCCACGUCUUAUGAAAUUAGGACUGGAUUUCCACUUCAUUUUGAAAAUAUGGCCAAGAUCCAUCCACGUGUGGCUGACUCAGAGCUGUGACAUUAAGGGAAAAUAAAGGAAAUGAUUGAGCUGCCUUUUCAGACAACACUGGAAUUUUUGAAGAACCCGAGAAUCAGUAUAUUGAAAGGUCUGCGCCGUGGAGUCGCUGCUUGUGAAGCCCGUGUGCAUCCGAAGUGCUGACAAGGACGAUGGAAAGACGCUUCAUUCAUGAGCUCCUUUGAAAUGCCAGACAGGCCUCUUGAAAGGGACGGGGAAAAUUCAGCAGAUGAAUAAGAUUGGCAACAUAAACCCAAACGUUUGGGGAAAAAACUGAUUUUAUUAUUUUUAUUUUACUUUAUUUUAUUUUUUGAGACAGGGUAUCGCUCUGUCACCCAGGCUAGAGUGCAGUGGCUUGAUCUUGGCUCAUUGCAGCCCUGGCUUCCCAGGUUCAAGCGAUCCUCAUGCCUCAGCCUCCCAAGUAGCUAGGACUAUAGACACACGCCAUGACGCCUGGUUAAUUUUCGUAUUUUUUAUAAAGACAGGAUUUCCCCAUGUUGGCCAGGCUGGUCUUGAACCCUUGGGCUCAAGCGGUCCGCCCUCCUCAGCCUCCCAAAGUGCUGGGAUUACAGUCAUGAGCCACUGUGCCUGGCAAAAAUGAGACUUUCAAUGUGCUACUUUAAUAAACUAAGUAUUAAUGUUGAAAACCCAA
Molecule: long non-coding RNA, 1579 nt
Organism: Gorilla gorilla gorilla (western lowland gorilla)
Lineage: Eukaryota; Metazoa; Chordata; Mammalia; Primates; Hominidae
Exons: 2
Source: RefSeq, a predicted model, not a curated record